Molecule: ribosomal RNA, 454 nt
Filed under: uncultured bacterium
Lineage: Bacteria
Description: bacterial SSU rRNA
Rfam family: Bacterial small subunit ribosomal RNA
Source: RNAcentral
GGACGGGAUCCAUCGGAGAGCUUGCUCGAAGAUGGUGAGAGUGGCGCACGGGUGCGUAACGCGUGAGCAACCUACCUCUAUCAGGGGGAUAGCCUCUCGAAAGAGAGAUUAACACCGCAUAACAUAUCUGACCGGCAUCGGUUAGCUAUUAAAUAUUUAUAGGAUAGAGAUGGGCUCGCGUGACAUUAGCUAGUUGGUAGGGUAACGGCUUACCAAGGCGACGAUGUCUAGGGGCUCUGAGAGGAGAAUCCCCCACACUGGUACUGAGACACGGACCAGACUCCUACGGGAGGCAGCAGUAAGGAAUAUUGGUCAAUGGGCGGAAGCCUGAACCAGCCAUGCCGCGUGCAGGAUGACUGCCCUAUGGGUUGUAAACUGCUUUUGUCCAGGAAUAAACCUAGAUACGUGUAUCUAGCUGAAUGUACUGGAAGAAUAAGGAUCGGCUAACUCCGUG